RNAcentral lists this long non-coding RNA (1654 nucleotides) under Helianthus annuus (common sunflower). Its description in RNAcentral is "hypothetical non coding rna". The record is from RNAcentral. Lineage: Eukaryota; Viridiplantae; Streptophyta; Magnoliopsida; Asterales; Asteraceae.
AUCGAUCUCCAUUCGUUUCCGUUACAGAGCGGUAGAAGAAUGAAGACAGCCAGACUUCAAUUUCAGUCAUCGAUUUGAGCGUCUAAUUUGUGUCAAAAUGCACACAAUUCAAAUGCUGUGCUUUGUCGACUCACAGUUGAGUUGAACGAAGCUUAAUUGAUUGAUCGAAAAAAUAUACAUUAUUUCUUAAUGCAGAAGCAGUCCAACAAGCUGCUACUAUUGAUGAAGCCGAAGCGGAGACAAGAAAAGCUACUUCAUCAGUUCCAUUUGGAUUUCUAAGGUACAUUGCAAGUGGAAUUUUGAAAUUUGAAUAACACACUGUUAGUUAUUUUUGAAAACAAUGAACCAGUAUCACACUUCUAACAGCAUCUCCUCACCGGUGUAGAUACCAAAACAACUAAUAAACAUAAUGUCAAACUCAACUGAAACACGACAAUCAUUCCCACUAAUCGGUACAACAACGAAACAUAAAGAAUUUCUCCAUAGUCCGACCAUCUGUGUACUUUUGGAAAGCUAGGGACCAAAUCCAAAAUUUUAAUGAACAAAAGGGACCAUCCGUGUACGUUACUCUUAAUAAUAAGUUACAACUGAACUUUUGAAAAAUGCUACUAAGUGAAAGAAGUUAGUUACCCAAUGUAAUAUAUAUCGAUCAAUGCUGUCCACCAAUAAAUCUAGCGUCCAAGAUUCAUCCUUCCAUAAUGCUUCCUCUUUCAUGCUAGUGAAAGGGUAAGCGUCAUUUCUCCAAAUCCAGACCAUAUGGAGCGCGUUUAGUGAUGUCACUCUGCCUUGUGGAUCUAACGCUACUAAAAUCGGCUUUUUCUCAAAGUGCCACACUUUCUUGACGUACUUAAUGACUGCCGGUUCUAGCAACGUAGGGUGAUGCAGCAUAUGCCACGUCAUCAUUGAUUGAAGCUGCUCAAGUUUGUGUUGAUGUAUAUCAUUCCACGCCAUCAGAUCGUCCACAAUCGGGACCCACACAACUUCGUAUUGAAGACCAGGUUGUAUUCUCGAGUCUUUGUAGAUUUGAGUGAGGACCAAAAUCUCUUCAUGGGAGAUGUCAAGGUCUGAUAUGAGCAGCAACACAGUCUUUUUCCUUAGCACAUCCACAUUAACCUGUUUUAGUCAUAAGAAGGAAUUAAACCAAUUAAUCAUUUCAUUGGUUUACGAAUAUAUAAUUAAAGAACAAAAAGAGUAAAAUUCCAAACCUCAGGGACAAAAAUGACAUUUUACUCGAAUAAAAAAUAUAAAAAUGGAUUUUUAAACUAACCCUUGUUUUCGACGAUCCAUCAAGAAGCGGAUGAAUAUCAUCCUUGGCACAAAACAAAGCCUUGAGAAUCUUCAAGUUGUCUAAGUGAGACACAUCAAAGAUUCGUACAAGCAUGAGAUAAUAUUCAUCAUGUUGCUUCUCCUCUGCAGCAACAUUACGUACGAACAUUAAUUUUUUUUUUGAGUAUUUUAAGGAUCAUUAAACAUUAAAACUACAAAAAGAUGUUAAACACCUACCUAUGUUUUUCAUGCAAAGGAGGAGGAGUGAUUUAAGAUGCUCAUGAAUAUUCUGAACCUUGUGAGCCAAGCUUGAAAGUUCCCAUGCCUCUGAGGUAGCUGUGAUAUACCUGAAUUUAUCAUAUAACACAUUAUAUCUUUAAAUAAUUUU